GUAUGUACCUGGGAGAGGAAAUGAUCACAAAGGGGGUUUUCUCAGGGUGAUGCUGAUCCACUACACUCCAGAUGUGCUGGUACCUGCAAUUUCCCCAAAUGUGGGAAAUUUGACUGCAUACUUUGUAGUAGUGGGGGACUGUGUUUGUGGUCUCCCCUG
Molecule: small nuclear RNA, 159 nt
Organism: Sorex fumeus (smoky shrew)
Lineage: Eukaryota; Metazoa; Chordata; Mammalia; Eulipotyphla; Soricidae
Product: U1 spliceosomal RNA
Exons: 1
Source: RefSeq, a predicted model, not a curated record